RNAcentral lists this ribosomal RNA (492 nucleotides) under uncultured bacterium. RNAcentral describes it as "partial 16S ribosomal RNA". It matches the Rfam family "Bacterial small subunit ribosomal RNA", at positions 29 to 507 of the family's 1533-position model. The record is from RNAcentral.
AGUGAACGCUGGCGGUAGGCCUAACACAUGCAAGUCGAACGGCAGCACAGUAAGAGCUUGCUCUUACGGGUGGCGAGUGGCGGACGGGUGAGGAAUACAUCGGAAUCUACUUUUUCGUGGGGGAUAACGUAGGGAAACUUACGCUAAUACCGCAUACGACCUACGGGUGAAAGCAGGGGAUCUUCGGACCUUGCGCGAUUGAAUGAGCCGAUGUCGGAUUAGCUAGUUGGCGGGGUAAAGGCCCACCAAGGCGACGAUCCGUAGCUGGUCUGAGAGGAUGAUACGCCACACUGGAACUGAGACACGGUCCCGACUCCUACGGGAGGCAGCAGUGGGGAAUAUUGGACAAUGGGCGCAAGCCUGAUCCAGCCAUACCGCGUGGGUGAAGAAGGCCUUCGGGUUGUAAAGCCCUUUUGUUGGGAAAGAAAAGCAGCAGGUUAAUACCCCGCUGUUCUGACGGUACCCAAAGAAUAAGCACCGGCUAACUUCGUG